This 305-nucleotide ribosomal RNA is filed under the name uncultured bacterium. Its description in RNAcentral is "bacterial SSU rRNA". It matches the Rfam family "Bacterial small subunit ribosomal RNA", at positions 335 to 633 of the family's 1533-position model. The record is from RNAcentral.
AUUCCUACGGGGCGCAGCAGUAGGGAAUUUUCGUCAAUGGGCGCAAGCCUGAACGAGCAAUGCCGCGUGAACGAGGAAGGUCUUCGGAUCGUAAAGUUCUGUUGAAGGGGAAAAAGAGCGGAGAGAGGAAAUGCUUUCUGAUUGAUAUUACCCUUCGAGGAAGUCACGGCUAACUACGUGCCAGCAGCCGCGGUAAUACGUAGGUGGCGAGCGUUAUCCGGAAUGAUUGGGCGUAAAGGGGGCGUAGGCGGCAGGCUAAGUCUGGAGUGAAAGGUACCGGAUCAACCGGGACAGGCUCUGGAAAG